Molecule: long non-coding RNA, 1599 nt
Organism: Culex pipiens pallens (northern house mosquito)
Lineage: Eukaryota; Metazoa; Arthropoda; Insecta; Diptera; Culicidae
Exons: 2
Source: RefSeq, a predicted model, not a curated record
UUGAAAAGGUCCAAUAAACCAAAUUUUCAGUUUUUGCUUUUUGGGUGUUUUUUAAUACCCCUGACUCAAGGCGGUUUCAAAAACACCCUAAAAGCAAAAACUGGAAAUUUGGUUUAUUGGACCUUUUCAAAAAAAAACUCCAGAUUUAAACUUUUUUUUCGAAAAAUAAAUAAUAAGGAUCAACAAACGAACCUAACAUGACACUUAAUCUGUGCAGCCGACGCUCUUUCAACGGACACACCAUUACACUGAACCCGUGCGACGCUCCUGAAACGAACGCACCAUAGUUGAGCUGUCAAAGUUUUUCAAUCGCGCGUGCUCGAUCCUGUCAGAUCCUGUCUAGUGUCUGUAUUCGGUCGCAGUGUUAACCGAAAUUUUCAACGGUAAAUCGCGUGUGCUCGUGAAAAAGGAACAUCCAGCGGUUGGCCUCAGGAUUCUGAAUGCGUUCCUGGUGUUGGACACAUCCGCCGGGUGUUUGCUGUAAAACAACGAAAGUUUCAGGUGCGUUAUAUUUGCGGAGGGCGGAAUCCCGUCCCACGGCAUACAUUUUCCUUUGCCUGCUUGAGCUGCUUGGAUAUUGGCUGAUGCAUGGAGUGAUUUGUUCAUCUUUUUUCGGCACACUCAGCAAACGUCAAACCAAACAAAAUUGCUGCCGGAUCUUUUCCGGGAGAGAUCCGGAAAAAGAUCCGGCAGCAAUUUUACUGAUUUGACAUUUGCUGAGGAUGCCGAAAAGAUUUUUUGUGUUACUCUCGCAAAUACAAUUAGGUUUCACAGCUUGACAUCACGAGCGCACACGCACACACAUUUUUAAUGACACACGUGUAAAAAAUGAAAACAGUACAGGCAAGCUGUCAAAUUUCUAACCUAAAACUCGAGUCGGCGUAAAACCUAAUUGGCUGAUGCAAGAAGUGAUUUGCCUUCAUUUUUCGACUCUCCCAACCAACGUAAACCACACAAAAUUGCUGUCGGAUCUUUUCCGGAAGAGAUCCGGCAGCAUGUUUGUACUGAUUUACGUUUGCUGAGGGUGCCGAAAAGUUUGGUUAUGUUGCUGUAUGCAAAAACAAUACGAUCAUUUUGUGUUUCUAUUCAACAGGGAACAUUUUGCCUAAGGGGUGAACUUCACGCUCGAUUUGGACGAGGAAAGCCGCAACAGAAUCACUCGACAAGAUCGCCAAGAAGUUGGCUUUUCUACAUGGACGAUCGUGGAUGGCGUGUGGCCCAAUUUGUCCUGCCGGGGAGUACCAGUCCGGCCGCAAUCAUCAGACAAUAGAGGAACAUCAUCGCACAUGGGUCAGAUGAUCACCAAGGGAACAUUCCCAACACAACCGGCACUAACGGAACCAGCAAAUCAAUCCGGAGUCUCCAGUCGACAAAAAAGAACCGGUGGUCAGUUUAAACGCACCAUGACAUCAUCCAUCCGAGUAGAAACAAGAAUCGGUCGCGAUCGAGAUCGAAAGCGAAAGAAAGCGGCUUCGUGUUGGUGUUUGAAAAACUCUGGAGGAGACAUUAUCAGUUAACAAUUGAAAAAAAAAACCAAAGUGAUUCAAUGUUGAAUGUAAAUAAAUUACAAUGAAUAUUAUAAAAGUAUUGUAAAACAUA